This 17-nucleotide microRNA is filed under the name Macrophomina phaseolina MS6. Its description in RNAcentral is "miR-4492". Lineage: Eukaryota; Fungi; Ascomycota; Dothideomycetes; Botryosphaeriales; Botryosphaeriaceae. The record is from RNAcentral.
AGGGCUUGGCGCGCGCC